UUCCAAGGUAAGCCCCUCUACAAGGGGCCAACUAGUGACCCCAACACCCAGAAACAUAGCAACCGGAUGAAAUCUGGCAUACCCAAUGUUUGUGGGGGUAAGGUGAUAUUUCCUUUUGACCUCUGACUGCCUACAUAU
Molecule: small nucleolar RNA, 138 nt
Organism: Neomonachus schauinslandi (Hawaiian monk seal)
Lineage: Eukaryota; Metazoa; Chordata; Mammalia; Carnivora; Phocidae
Product: small nucleolar RNA SNORA67
Exons: 1
Source: RefSeq, a predicted model, not a curated record